RNAcentral lists this long non-coding RNA (381 nucleotides) under Diabrotica virgifera virgifera (western corn rootworm). RNAcentral describes it as "uncharacterized LOC126879800". Lineage: Eukaryota; Metazoa; Arthropoda; Insecta; Coleoptera; Chrysomelidae. The record is from RNAcentral.
UCCACUAUCAGUAGUAUAAUAAGCCAGAUAGUAGGGAGGUCAUAAUUAUGUAUAAUAAAUACAAAACUUUAAUAUAAUUUCAUAAAAACGGUGUCAUCAAGGAUAUAAAAACGCUCGUAGUUCUUGUGUUAAUCAUCAUUUCCCUCAUAGCAGUUACAGAAGCAACAUGAGGAUUACAUAUUUUAUUGUAUUUGUACUAGCCUUUGUCGCAACUGGAAUAUUCCAAGUAGAGGCAGGAAGGUCAUCUAAACCAGUCACCCAAGCACCAGGAAGAAAACACGGCCAUAAAUAGCCUAAUUUUAAUAUGGAUUAUUAAAUUAUAUUCAUUUGUUUUAAUGUUUUAUCUUACAAAUACAAUAAAAAUGUUAUACCACUAAAAAA